CCACAUGGACACUUUCGCCAAGAGGUAGACCUGAUGACUGGAAUGGAUCUGAUACACGUAUCACGUAUGCCAUGCUAACACAUGUGAGGGCCUUUCUGUUUGUCCUCUGCAGAAGUGCAUGUACAAGAAGCACUCCUCUUAACUGCGAAUGUAAAAUUGCUAUGCAGGAGUUGGGAAAUCGGUUACAACGGUUGCAAGGAAUGCUCAGUGAUGUGAGGUGUAGAUUGAGCUGUUGGACCAUACCAGGAAGUGUCAAUAAUGCAGCCCAAGUUCGAGCAGUGGAAGAAUAUGUAGUGAUUUCUUUUUUUUAUUCAAAUAAAAAUACUAGGGAGAUCACUGUCUGCAGUUGCCUAACCAUGGCAACAUACAGGUGCUUAAGUGAAGAUCUCAACUUUCCAAUGGCUCAAUGAGAUGUCACGUACUUGGAGGAAAUUUCAAAUACAAGUCGAAUCUCAAUCUCCAAUCACCCUAUUGAAAAACUGGCUAAAAUUUUGCCCCCUCCAACAAAUACCAUUCUAUGAAUGGAUUCAGUCAAAUUUCCAUCCAAUACAAUAGCUUGGAUUAGAGAAGCGGUGCCUCUCAUCCCUUCCAUGUUCAAGCCUUUGAGGGAAAGGGGGGUACUAAACAAAGUAAAGGUCGUCUUCUCUGCAAUUGAGGGUCUGUGGCUCAGCCCAUUCAUGAAUCGGGCCGACUUGACUGCAUGGUCAGAUGAUCAAGACCACCACCCAACUGCUUACCCCUUCCGUUGUGGAUGAUUGUAUAGAAGAAAAACUGAUGGUAGAAUCUGAGCUACUUGACUUAAAAGCUACAUGGUCAAAUUAUCAAGACUACACAUCUGCGCACACCUACCAUUUACGGUUGUUUGUACAAGAAGCACACGGAUAGGAGAAUCCUAGCUUUCUGAUUUUCUCUUGAAUGUGGACUAUUGGCUGAUUUUUUUCAUCACCCGUUUGCUGAAUGUUGAAGGCUGUUACUCUGACAAUAGGAUUGUCUGAUUGAUGUGAUAUUUAUACAGUUGCCUGUCAACCGCUAGGCUUAUAAGAUUGACAUACCAUAUGACCCACCCUCAAGCCAUGCAUGCCCAGUCAAGCAAUAGACCCUUAAGCAUAAGGGCAGGCUCCAAAUUGAAAAUGAGUCAACAGGCCUCUCAAAUUCUAUGUCAUGGGUGGGAAAUCCGGUCUUCAAAAGGGAU
Magnolia sinica is the source of this 1192-nucleotide long non-coding RNA. RefSeq lists it as uncharacterized. NCBI's taxonomy places the organism in Eukaryota, Viridiplantae, Streptophyta, Magnoliopsida, Magnoliales, Magnoliaceae. The transcript is spliced from 4 exons. The record is from RefSeq and is a predicted model, not a curated record.